RNAcentral lists this ribosomal RNA (579 nucleotides) under uncultured bacterium. RNAcentral describes it as "partial 16S ribosomal RNA". It matches the Rfam family "Bacterial small subunit ribosomal RNA", at positions 355 to 926 of the family's 1533-position model. The record is from RNAcentral.
UGGGGAAUUUUGGACAAUGGGCGAAAGCCUGAUCCAGCAAUGCCGCGUGUGUGAAGAAGGCCUUCGGGUUGUAAAGCACUUUUGUCCGGAAAGAAAUCCUUGGCUCUAAUACAGUCGGGGGAUGACGGUACCGGAAGAAUAAGCACCGGCUAACUACGUGCCAGCAGCCGCGGUAAUACGUAGGGUGCAAGCGUUAAUCGGAAUUACUGGGCGUAAAGCGUGCGCAGGCGGUUUGCUAAGACCGAUGUGAAAUCCCCGGGCUCAACCUGGGAACUGCAUUGGUGACUGGCAGGCUAGAGUAUGGCAGAGGGGGGUAGAAUUCCACGUGUAGCAGUGAAAUGCGUAGAGAUGUGGAGGAAUACCGAUGGCGAAGGCAGCCCCCUGGGCCAAAUACUGACGCUCAUGCACGAAAGCGUGGGGAGCAAACAGGAUUAGAUACCCUGGUAGUCCACGCCCUAAACGAUGUCAACUAGUUGUUGGGGAUUCAUUUCCUUAGUAACGUAGCUAACGCGUGAAGUUGACCGCCUGGGGAGUACGGUCGCAAGAUUAAAACUUAAAGGAAUUGACGGGGUCAUAGCU